This 495-nucleotide ribosomal RNA is filed under the name uncultured bacterium. RNAcentral describes it as "partial 16S ribosomal RNA". It matches the Rfam family "Bacterial small subunit ribosomal RNA", at positions 36 to 507 of the family's 1533-position model. The record is from RNAcentral.
GCUUCCCUCUUUCUUCGUGCCUAAUACAUGCAAGUAGAACGCUGAAGGAGGAGCUUGCUCUUCUGGAUGAGUUGCGAACGGGUGAGUAACGCGUAGGUAACCUGCCUGGUAGCGGGGGAUAACUAUUGGAAACGAUAGCUAAUACCGCAUGACAACAGUUAUUGCAUGAUAACUGUUUAAAAGGGGCAACUGCUCCACUACCAGAUGGACCUGCGUUGUAUUAGCUAGUUGGUGAGGUAACGGCUCACCAAGGCGACGAUACAUAGCCGACCUGAGAGGGUGAUCGGCCACACUGGGACUGAGACACGGCCCAGACUCCUACGGGAGGCAGCAGUAGGGAAUCUUCGGCAAUGGACGGAAGUCUGACCGAGCAACGCCGCGUGAGUGAAGAAGGUUUUCGGAUCGUAAAGCUCUGUUGUAAGAGAAGAACGAGUGUGAGAGUGGAAAGUUCACACUGUGACGGUAUCUUACCAGAAAGGGACGGCUAACUACGUG